This 501-nucleotide ribosomal RNA is filed under the name uncultured bacterium. RNAcentral describes it as "partial 16S ribosomal RNA". It matches the Rfam family "Bacterial small subunit ribosomal RNA", at positions 30 to 523 of the family's 1533-position model. The record is from RNAcentral.
AUUGAACGCUGGCGGCAGGCUUAACACAUGCAAGUCGAGCGGAGAGAGGUAGCUUGCUACUGAUCUUAGCGGCGGACGGGUGAGUAAUGCUUAGGAAUCUGCCUAUUAGUGGGGGACAACAUUUCGAAAGGAAUGCUAAUACCGCAUACGUCCUACGGGAGAAAGCAGGGGAUCUUCGGGCCUUGCGCUAAUAGAUGAGCCUAAGUCGGAUUAGCUAGUUGGUGGGGUAAAGGCCUACCAAGGCGACGAUCUGUAGCGGGUCUGAGAGGAUGAUCCGCCACACUGGGACUGAGACACGGCCCAGACUCCUACGGGAGGCAGCAGUGGGGAAUAUUGGACAAUGGGCGGAAGCCUGAUCCAGCCAUGCCGCGUGUGUGAAGAAGGCCUUAUGGUUGUAAAGCACUUUAAGCGAGGAGGAGGCUACUUUAGUUAAUACCUAGAGAUAGUGGACGUUACUCGCAGAAUAAGCACCGGCUAACUCUGUGCCAGCAGCCGCCGCAG